CGGAGCUGGGGCCGUCGCCCCAGCGAAGCCCUUCCGGCCCUGAGGGGAGGCCCAAGGCUACCUCCUCCCCGCCUCAGCUGCUCGAGGAAAGGCCUCCACCAUGAGAGCUCCCUGCUGCAAGGCCUCGCGUUUUGUUAACCUCCCUGUUUUUCCAGUGGGGCCGUCGCCCCAGCGAAGCCCUUCCGGCCCUGAGGGGAGGCCCAAGGCUACCUCCUCCCCGCCUCAGCUGCUCGAGGAAAGGCCUCCACCAUGAGAGCUCCCUGCUGCAAGGCCUCGCGUUUUGUUAACCUCCCUGUUUUUCCAGGCUGGGAGCAAGAAAGAAAGUCAGGUUCUGAGGGGGGAAAAGGAUUGGGGAGCUUUAGUGGAGAGCAGCUGCUCCUGCAAGCCAAAGACUGGCUCUGCCCAAGGGUCUCGGUUAACUCGGCUUUGCGGCCAGCACCUCGUUGUUUUGAAUCAGCUACAGAGUUUUUGAGAGAAGAGAUUAGAUCAGGCGGGAGCCCGUGCGGCGCGGUGAGACGCCCUGGUGUCCCAGCACAGCGGAGAGCCUCGCCGAGGCACCGCGGAUUGAAGCCGGGCGUCCCUCAGCGACCUGCCUGCCCGGUCCACCUCAGCCUGGCCCCGUUGAGCGCAUCCGCACCUGACCAUAAAUGCAGUUUAUCCCCAGCGGCCCUGGCUAGCUUCACGGAGCACAGAACUAAGCACAGGGGAAUUGGUAGAAGCACGCUUCUAGGCUGUCAAGUCAUUUUAGAAGGAUGAAAUAAGUACACGGAGCAGCCGUCCGUCCAUCCCUGAUUGUACCCAAAAACUCGCAUUUCCGGCUGUUUAGCUGGAUAUUUGGCAUGGUCCGGGAAUGCACAAGUCUCAUUCUUUCGCCAACGAUUUCCUUUCCACCUUCACUGUUUAUACACACGUGUAGGAACAUUAAUGGACAUAUCCCCAAAAGAAUUAGUUUUCUAAUCCGCGUUCAUUAAAACCCCAAAACAGCUCCCUAAGAAGUCUCCAAAACGCAGUAAGAAAAGCAAGCCUAUGAUCAGCACAUUUAAAUUCUCUGUGUAGGAAUCAACAGCUUCACUAGAAUAUUUUGGGGGGCUGCAAGCGAAAAAAAGCCGAAACCCGCUGCUGAAAGCUGCCAUUUCAAAUCUGUUUGCUGGGCACUGCAGCGUCUGAAUUUAGUCAAGCGCUAAGAGACGAUGUAACACAGCGGAUGUUUAAUGGACGAGGUAACGGCAUCCUUUUUUUUUCCUUAAAUAGUAUAACUGGGUUUAGUAAUUUUACUUUAAACUCGCCUUGGUGUUGAGCUGGCAGCCCUGAAGACCACGUGAUGCCCCACACGCAGCUCGGAGGCGCUCAGCAGCACCGGUUCGGCGUUCGAGCCCCCUUGGGACCGAGGGGGGUCUGGGCUCUGCAGCUGCACGGGAGCAGGUUGUGUUCAGCAAUCGCAGUGAUUUUAAAAAAGGGAUCCUUAGCCAUAAUCCAUUCCUCUUAGGGGAGAAAAGAGCAAAAACCUUCUUAAACGGAGCCCCGUUGCUGCCGCAGCCCCGCAGAGGCACUGCGCGUUAAGCCAAGGAAAGGCGGCUGCAGCGCGGGUGGCGGGAACAACGUUUUUGUACUGGACAAGCGGCGCUUAGUGCUGUGUGUUACAUCCCGGCAGCUUUGCUCCAAGAGCGGGAGCGGACAGAGGAGGGA
RNAcentral lists this long non-coding RNA (1686 nucleotides) under Struthio camelus australis. RNAcentral describes it as "lncRNA (ENSSCUG00000001909.1)". The record is from RNAcentral. Lineage: Eukaryota; Metazoa; Chordata; Aves; Struthioniformes; Struthionidae.